RNAcentral lists this long non-coding RNA (217 nucleotides) under Vigna radiata. Its description in RNAcentral is "long non-coding RNA (VRAD_LNC001632)". Lineage: Eukaryota; Viridiplantae; Streptophyta; Magnoliopsida; Fabales; Fabaceae. The record is from RNAcentral.
GGGGAAGUGUUGUAAAUAAACCAAACUAUGUCGUUUUGUUAAAAAGAGCUUAUCUGUUAUUCUUGUACAUUGCCUUAUAAAGGCAACUUUCAUCUAAAUGAGAAUUACUCAGCUCUCGCAUUCUCUUACUUUUCUCAAUCUCUCCCUUACUCUUUCUGUUGCAUUCACUUCAUACACCUCUGCAUUAUCAGUUAACAUCCUCGUUCUUAUUGCGGCG